UCCUUAGCUCAAGAAUUAGCUUUCAAUUUUUAUUAUUAAAUUUGAAAACCCGGCGUGAUGAAUCAAGUAUGUUUAGUACAUCCACUAAGACUUUAAGUUAGCUUCACGAGACCUAUUAAGAAUAGAAUUUCUUGUAGGCUUUAUGAACCAAGGGGAUUAGCGCUGCUUUCCCAAGACGAGUUUAUGUGAUUAUGAUCUUCAGGCUUUGCCUAUCCAGGUUGAGCAACUGAUGGAAUGGAAUGAUGUUGAGCGGGUGUUCCUUUGACAUUUCAAGAAAUGUAACAUUGAGUAUACAUCUUCAUAUGUAUAUCUCACACGUUUUCCGCUGCAAAACACUUUAAUUAGGAUAGCUCUAUGUUAUGAAGUUGUGAUACGUGUUAUUGGGUAACCCACCUUAAUCAGUUCUCAUUUA
Molecule: long non-coding RNA, 412 nt
Organism: Salvia miltiorrhiza (redroot sage)
Lineage: Eukaryota; Viridiplantae; Streptophyta; Magnoliopsida; Lamiales; Lamiaceae
Exons: 2
Source: RefSeq, a predicted model, not a curated record